RNAcentral lists this transfer RNA (74 nucleotides) under Grias cauliflora. Its description in RNAcentral is "tRNA-Pro". It matches the Rfam family "tRNA". Rfam says of the family: Transfer RNA (tRNA) molecules are approximately 80 nucleotides in length. Their secondary structure includes four short double-helical elements and three loops (D, anti-codon, and T loops). The record is from RNAcentral. Lineage: Eukaryota; Viridiplantae; Streptophyta; Magnoliopsida; Ericales; Lecythidaceae.
AGGGAUGUGGCGCAGCUUGGUAGCGCGUUUGUUUUGGGUAUAAAAGGUCACGGGUUCAAAUCCUGUCAUCCCUA